This 253-nucleotide ribosomal RNA is filed under the name uncultured bacterium. RNAcentral describes it as "partial 16S ribosomal RNA". It matches the Rfam family "Bacterial small subunit ribosomal RNA", at positions 524 to 776 of the family's 1533-position model. The record is from RNAcentral.
UACGAAGGGGGCUAGCGUUGCUCGGAAUCACUGGGCGUAAAGCGCACGUAGGCGGAUUGUUAAGUCAGGGGUGAAAUCCUGGAGCUCAACUCCAGAACUGCCUUUGAUACUGGCGAUCUCGAGUCCUGGAGAGGUGAGUGGAACUGCGAGUGUAGAGGUGAAAUUCGUAGAUAUUCGCAAGAACACCAGUGGCGAAGGCGGCUCACUGGCCCGGUACUGACGCUGAGGUGCGAAAGCGUGGGGAGCAAACAGG